This 346-nucleotide RNase P RNA is filed under the name Synergistaceae bacterium. RNAcentral describes it as "RNase P RNA component class A". It matches the Rfam family "Bacterial RNase P class A". From Rfam's summary of the family: Ribonuclease P (RNase P) is a ubiquitous endoribonuclease, found in archaea, bacteria and eukarya as well as chloroplasts and mitochondria. Its best characterised activity is the generation of mature 5'-ends of tRNAs by cleaving the 5'-leader elements of precursor-tRNAs. The record is from RNAcentral. Lineage: Bacteria; Thermotogati; Synergistota; Synergistia; Synergistales; Synergistaceae.
UGAGUGUUUGACUCGGUCGCGAGAUUUUUUAAUCUCGAGGAAAGUCCGGGCUUCAUAGGGCAGAGAGUAGGAGAAAUUCCUGCGAGUGCAAGCUUAGGGAAAGCGCCACAGAAAGGUAAACCGCAGCGCAAGCUGUAAGGAUGAAAAGGCGGGGUAAGAGCCCACCGGCGGAGUAAGACCCGCGCAUGGUAAGCCCCUCUCGAAGCAAGGUCGAAUAGGAGAGAGUGACACAGUCACAGCUGUUGCCCGCAGUUCUCUCGGGUACGACCGCUUGUCGAGGUGUGCAAGCACCUUGCUAGAUAAAUGACCGAUACAUACAAAACUCGGCUUAUUGAACGCUCACAAA